AUGGGUGCGAUGGGACCCCGGGGGUGCGGAGGGCACGGGGUCGGGGGGUCCAGGGUCCUGAGGCCAGGGGACCGGGCAAGGGCAUGGGGUCGGGGAUCACGGAGUGCGGGAGUCGCAGCCCGCAGGAUCGGGGUCCGCAGGCGGCGGCCGCAAAGCUCGGUUCACCUUGAUGAGCGGAGAGACCUGCACCGGCGGCACCAUCUUGUCCGUGACCUCGCACCGGAAGCACAGCCCCUCGACGGAAGUCACGCGGAGGGCUGUGGGUGGACAGGCGCAUGCGCCACAGUGGAAGACGGGGGAGGGGGCGGCCACCCCAGGGAUGACGUCAGGGGUGCGGUGCAUGCGCAGAAGGGCUUCGAUUACGCACGCGCGGCGGCCAGGCCCAGGUGUGGGCGUGUGGAGUGGCAACCCGGGCUGCACCUGUCCGCGUACCCGCUGCGUGCGAGUCACGGCACGAGCGGCGAAGACGCCCCACGGUCUGCUGGGGGGUCCCGGGGUCCGGGCGGGAGGCCCACCCGCCGUGUGUGCGCCCGGCCGGGCGAGGGGACUACGGUCUCCCCGGGGAAGCCGCCCGUCUGUGCCACCCGCGGUCGUCCCCGCACCCGCGGCGGGGCCCCGCGCUGCCCGGCCCGUCCACGGGACCUGGUGAAUACGAAUCAGCCCCGGAGCGCCGCGGGUGCCCCGCCGUCCGCGGCGGCCAGCCGCGGCCCCCGCCCCGAGCCUGGCCCCAAGCCCUCCUGGUCGCCCCCCGCCCUCAGCCUGACCCCGCUCUGUGGACACAGGCCGACCCCCACCCCCACAGACAGCUCAGCUGUGUCCGUUUGCCUGCACCUUAGAAGCAGCCUCGGCUGGAGAGGAGCCGGGUUUGAGUCAGAAAUUAGUGUGGGGCGCGGGGGUGGGGGGGCACAGGAGGACCCAAGGUCGGGGGCUCAGGAUGCCAGGGCCUGCGGGAGCCCGCCGCACCUGUGGGAAUGGCCGGGUGGGCUCCCACCCUCUCGGGCUCAUGGGGAGGCGGGGGUCGCCAGCCCCUCUCCCCUGAGUGACCACAAGCCGCGCGGAUGCCCGUCCAGGGCUGCCCUUGUUACGGCUGCUGCUGACUCUAAUUCGAAAUUAAAAAGCUGUGUGGGGGCCAGCGCCGCGGCUCACUAG
RNAcentral lists this long non-coding RNA (1149 nucleotides) under Oryctolagus cuniculus (rabbit). RNAcentral describes it as "lncRNA (ENSOCUG00000036346.1)". Lineage: Eukaryota; Metazoa; Chordata; Mammalia; Lagomorpha; Leporidae. The record is from RNAcentral.